CCUACGGGUGGCAGCAGUGAGGAAUAUUGGGCAAUGGACGAGAGUCUGAACCAGCCAAGUAGCGUGAAGGAUGACUGCCCUAUGGGUUGUAAACUUCUUUUAUAUGGGAAUAAAAUGUUCCACGUGUGGGAUUUUGUAUGUACCAUAUGAAUAAGGAUCGGCUAACUCCGUGCCAGCAGUCGCGGUAAUACGGAGGAUCCGAGCGUUAUCCGGAUUUAUUGGGUUUAAAGGGAGCGUAGGUGGAUUGGUAAGUCAGUUGUGAAAUUUUGGGGCUCAACCGUAAAAUUGCAGUUGAAACUGGCGGUCUUGAGUACAGUAGAGGUGGGCGGAAUUCGUAGUGUAGCGGUGAAAUGCUUAGAUAUCACGAAGAACUCCAGUGGCGAAGGAAGCUCACUGGACUGCAACUGACACUGAGGCUCGAAAGUGUGGGGAUCAAACAGGAUUAGAUACCCGGGUAGUC
This 460-nucleotide ribosomal RNA is filed under the name uncultured bacterium. RNAcentral describes it as "partial 16S ribosomal RNA". It matches the Rfam family "Bacterial small subunit ribosomal RNA", at positions 338 to 795 of the family's 1533-position model. The record is from RNAcentral.